UAAAUAAUCUGAUUAAUUUUACUUUCACUAGGUCACUAGGUCUAUCGGUGAUGAUGAUCUGAAGCCAGCUGUAACUGCGGAACCUGAGAUAACUCUAACUACUCUUUCUGCAGAGGAUGAAUACAUUGUAAUGGCCAGUGAUGGCCUUUGGGAUGUUGUUAGUGAGACAGAUGUAGUGAACAUAAUCAGAGACACAGUGAAAGAGCCAGGAAUGUGCUCAAAGAGGUUAGCAACAGAAGCUGCGGAACGAGGCAGCAAAGACAACAUAACCGUUAUUGUUGUUUUCUUACGUCCAGUUUCCACAGCUGAGAGAAUUUAUUAGCUCUGCUGUCAUCAUUCAUCAUUUUUUGCAAGAUUCUUUCUGUGAAGUGUAGAUCAGCAUACAGGAACAGACGCAACGUAUUUAACCAAUAAGAGUUAUUUGGAUUCAGUUCAUUGUGUGAUUUCAGCUUGUGGUAAAGGAUUUCUGAUCUGUAAUCUUGAUUCGAAGCAAAAUUAUUCUCUUUUUGGACAUGUUAAAGAACUGAUACCGAUUGGACAAAGAUACUGAUGAGAUCCACUUCCUUGAUUUGAAAUCC
Non-coding RNA from Nicotiana tabacum (common tobacco), 578 nucleotides. NCBI's taxonomy places the organism in Eukaryota, Viridiplantae, Streptophyta, Magnoliopsida, Solanales, Solanaceae. The record is from RefSeq and is a predicted model, not a curated record.